UCCCCGCCUGGGGAGUACGGCCGCAAGGCUAAAACUCAAAGGAAUUGACGGGGACCCGCACAAGCGGCGGAGCAUGCGGAUUAAUUCGAUGCAACGCGAAGAACCUUACCAAGGCUUGACAUACACCAGAACACCGUAGAAAUACGGGACUCUUUGGACACUGGUGAACAGGUGGUGCAUGGUUGUCGUCAGCUCGUGUCGUGAGAUGUUGGGUUAAGUCCCGCAACGAGCGCAACCCUCGUUCUGUGUUGCCAGCACGUUAUGGUGGGAACUCAUGGGAUACUGCCGGGGUCAACUCGGAGGAAGGUGGGGAUGACGUCAAAUCAUCAUGCCCCUUAUGUCUUGGGCUUCACGCAUGCUACAAUGGCCGGUACAAAGGGCUGCAAUACCGUGAGGUGGAGCGAAUCCCAAAAAGCCGUCCAGUUCGGAUUGAGGUCUGCAACUCGACCUCAUGAAGUCGGAGUCGCUAGUAUCGCAGCAGCACGUCGCGGCUUAC
Molecule: ribosomal RNA, 496 nt
Filed under: Microbacterium sp.
Lineage: Bacteria; Bacillati; Actinomycetota; Actinomycetes; Micrococcales; Microbacteriaceae
Description: bacterial SSU rRNA
Rfam family: Bacterial small subunit ribosomal RNA
Source: RNAcentral